Molecule: non-coding RNA, 135 nt
Organism: Triticum aestivum (bread wheat)
Lineage: Eukaryota; Viridiplantae; Streptophyta; Magnoliopsida; Poales; Poaceae
Source: Rfam
AAAGUACUCCCUUCGUCCCAAAAUUCUUGUCUUAGAUUUGUCUAGAUAUGGAUGUAUCAAGUCACAUUUUAGUAUUAGAUACAUCCGUAUCUAGACAAAUCUAAGACAAGAAAUUUGGGACAGAGGGAGUAGUUG